CUUCUUCGGAGGGUAUGCUUAAAGAGGGGCUUGCGUCACAUUAGUUAGUUGGUAAGGUAAAGGCUUACCAAGACGAUGAUGUGUAGCUGGACUGAGAGGUUGAACAGCCACAUUGGGACUGAGACACGGCCCAAACUCCUACGGGAGGCAGCAGUAGGGAAUUUUCGGCAAUGGAGGAAACUCUGACCGAGCAACGCCGCGUGAACGACGAAGUACUUCGGUAUGUAAAGUUCUUUUAUUGAAGAAGAAAAAAUAGUGGAAAAACUAUAUUGACGUUAUUCAAUGAAUAAGCCCCGGCUAACUAUGUGCCAGCAGCCGCGGUAAUACAUAGGGGGCGAGCGUUAUCCGGAAUUAUUGGGCGUAAAGGGUGCGUAGGCGGUUUGAUAAGUCUCUAGUUUAAUUUCAGCGCUUAACGCUGUCCUGCUAGAGAAACUGUCUUACUAGAGUGAGAUAGAGGCAAGCGGAAUUCCAUGUGUAGCGGUAAAAUGUGUAAAUAUGUGGAGGAACACCAGAGGCGUAGGCGGCUUGCUGGGUCUUUACUGACGCUGAGGCACGAAAGCGUGGGGAGCAAACAGGAUUAGAUACCCUGGUAGUCCACGCCGUAAACGAUGAGUACUAAGUGUCGGGGCAACUCGGUACUGAAGUUAACACAUUAAGUACUCCGCCUGAGUAGUACGUACGCAAGUAUGAAACUUAAAGGAAUUGACGGGAUCCCGCACAAGCGGUGGAUCAUGUUGUUUAAUUCGAAGAUACACGAAAAACCUUACCAGGUCUUGACAUAUUCUGCGAAUCUAUAGAAAUAUAGUGGAGGUUACCAGAAAUACAGGUGGUGCAUGGUUGUCGUCAGCUCGUGUCGUGAGAUGUUAGGUUAAGUUCUAAAACGAGCGCAACCCUUAUCGUUAGUUACCAGCAUGUUAUGAUGGGGACUUUAGCGAGACUGCCAAUGAAAAAUUGGAGGAAGGUGAGGAUUACGUCAAAUCAUCAUGCCCCUUAUGAUCUGGGCUACAAACGUGAUACAAUGGCUAUUACAAAGAGUAGCUGAAACGCGAGUUUUUAGCCAAUCUCAAAAAAAUAGUCUCAGUUCGGAU
This 1088-nucleotide ribosomal RNA is filed under the name Tanzanian lethal decline phytoplasma. RNAcentral's name for it is "bacterial SSU rRNA". It matches the Rfam family "Bacterial small subunit ribosomal RNA", at positions 194 to 1298 of the family's 1533-position model. Lineage: Bacteria; Bacillati; Mycoplasmatota; Mollicutes; Acholeplasmatales; Acholeplasmataceae. The record is from RNAcentral.